UAUGUGAUCGUCUCUCGCAUAUCAAUAAGCGGAGGAAAAGAAACUAACAAGGAUUCCCCUAGUAACGGCGAGUGAAGCGGGAAGAGCUCAAAUUUGAAAUCUUAAAGGGUUUCCCUUUACGAACUGUAGUUUAAAGAAGUGUUUUCUGUGAGGGUUUUGGUAAAAGUUCUUUGGAAUAGGACAUCAUAGAGGGUGAGAAUCCCGUAUUUGACCUUUACUUUCAACUUUGUGAUACACUUUCAAAGAGUCGGAUUGUUUGGGAAUGCAGUCCAAAAUGGGUGGUAAAUUUCAUCUAAAGCUAAAUAUUGGCGAGAGACCGAUAGCGAACAAGUACCGUGAGGGAAAGAUGAAAAGAACUUUGAAAAGAGAGUUAAACAGUACGUGAAAUUGUCAAAAGGGAAGCGUUUGACACCAGUGUUGUUUUUCUGAAAAUCAAUUAAAGAACUGUUUAUGCUAAGCUGUUUAGACAUUUAUCAGCUAUCUGUUUAGUUUUGAGCUUUUCUUUAAUGCACUUUUCAGUUAACAAGUCAACAUCAAUUUCUUUUGCUGUAAAAAAGCUUGAGGAAGGUGGCUUGAGAUUCGUCUUAAGUGUUUAUAGCCUCUUGUCUAUGCAGUCGGAGAGAUUGAGGUCUGCAGCGUAGAUCCUUCGGGGCUAAAUGCAUUUGUGCUAAGUUAUAGCAUUUUAUAGACAACUUGUUGACUAUGAUUUGUCUUGUAGCUUACUCGCUUAUGUUAUUUUACCUACGCUUAGGAUGUUGAAGACUCUACAGAGAUA
Molecule: ribosomal RNA, 775 nt
Filed under: uncultured Neocallimastigales
Lineage: Eukaryota; Fungi; Neocallimastigomycota; Neocallimastigomycetes; Neocallimastigales
Description: partial large subunit ribosomal RNA
Rfam family: Eukaryotic large subunit ribosomal RNA
Source: RNAcentral